RNAcentral lists this non-coding RNA (157 nucleotides) under Hyphomicrobiales bacterium. Its description in RNAcentral is "Rhizobiales bacterium 6S RNA". It matches the Rfam family "6S / SsrS RNA". From Rfam's summary of the family: E. coli 6S RNA was the first non coding RNA to be sequenced, but its function was unknown until recently. The record is from RNAcentral. Lineage: Bacteria; Pseudomonadati; Pseudomonadota; Alphaproteobacteria; Hyphomicrobiales.
GCGGGGCUGCACGGUUCGUCAGGAGCAAUAUUCUCGGGGCCUUAUCGAUCUCUAAGGGAGCUGUCCCUGGCCGGGCCCGUGGGCCCGGACACACGGUGCCCACCUACUUGUGUAGGGAACCCGGGAUCGACGCUCCAACGGCCAUUGCGGCUCCGCA